GUACUGCUGAAGAGUCCCAAACUAGGACGAAACAGCUAUCCGGUAC
RNAcentral lists this non-coding RNA (46 nucleotides) under Trichobilharzia regenti. Lineage: Eukaryota; Metazoa; Platyhelminthes; Trematoda; Strigeidida; Schistosomatidae. The record is from RNAcentral.